This is a long non-coding RNA of Magnolia sinica, 447 nucleotides long. RefSeq lists it as uncharacterized. The transcript is spliced from 3 exons. The record is from RefSeq and is a predicted model, not a curated record. NCBI's taxonomy places the organism in Eukaryota, Viridiplantae, Streptophyta, Magnoliopsida, Magnoliales, Magnoliaceae.
UUUUGUUCCUAAUUCUUCCUAUGUAAUUGCCUCUAUCACACAUUUCAAGUCCUUUCCGUGGCUGUCUAUAACCACCACAAAAGGAUCUAUCACGCAUCUGUACAGAAAGGGACUGAGGGAGAUUUGGGAAGUCCCAAGGCAGAAACUGAGGAUGAUGAUUCGGUGGAGCUAGAGAAAAGCAAUGUAUUGUUGAUGGGUCCAACUAGCUCGGUUACAAAAGCGUCAGCUCUUUCUUGCCUGUUAUAUGGUGCUUGCUCCUUGGGAGGAGAAAUGAAUUGUGGAUAUGGCCCAAGUACUUUCAAGCUCUUGUAAAUGAAAGCAGCUGCUCCUAAGGCAUCUUCUUCUAAGAAGAAAUCCAAGGAUGGAGAAGAAGAUGGUUCAAAGAAGAGAAAACCAAAGAAGAAAAUGGAUUCUAAUGCACGAAAGAGAGUUAUGUUUGCUUUCAUG